Molecule: ribosomal RNA, 455 nt
Filed under: uncultured bacterium
Lineage: Bacteria
Description: bacterial SSU rRNA
Rfam family: Bacterial small subunit ribosomal RNA
Source: RNAcentral
AUUGAACGCUGGCGGCAUGCUUUACACAUGCAAGUCGAACGGCAGCACGAAAGAGCUUGCUCUUUUGGUGGCGAGUGGCGAACGGGUGAGUAAUGCAUCGGAACGUACCGAGUAAUGGGGGAUAACUAUCCGAAAGGAUAGCUAAUACCGCAUACGCUUUGAGAAGGAAAGUGGGGGCUCUUCGGACCUCACGUUAUUCGAGCGGCCGAUGUCUGAUUAGCUAGUUGGUGGGGUAAAGGCCUACCAAGGCGACGAUCAGUAGCGGGUCUGAGAGGAUGAUCCGCCACACUGGGACUGAGACACGGCCCAGACUCCUACGGGAGGCAGCAGUGGGGAAUUUUGGACAAUGGGCGCAAGCCUGAUCCAGCCAUGCCGCGUGUCUGAAGAAGGCCUUCGGGUUGUAAAGGACUUUUGUUAGGGAAGAAAAGGAUAGUGUUAAUACCAUUNUCUGCNGA